Perca flavescens (yellow perch) is the source of this 328-nucleotide long non-coding RNA. RefSeq lists it as uncharacterized. The transcript is spliced from 4 exons. Lineage: Eukaryota; Metazoa; Chordata; Actinopteri; Perciformes; Percidae. The record is from RefSeq and is a predicted model, not a curated record.
CUUUGUUCCGGUCUCGUCUUACCCGACCACUGUAUCUUAUGAUAGUAACACAGCAGCUGAGCAACUAAAGGCGACGGAAGACUUAGUUACAUUGUAUUUGACGCCUGAGGACGAUUUCACACAGUCACCCCCAUGGAGCAGAUACGUAUGUCCACACAAGCCUAAGAAGAGAUCUAGGAAGAGAUCUAUUGAGCCUGUGAAGCCAUACACGACCGGUCUCCCGCCCAAAAGAAGAAGCCCUUCCUUUGUUCCAGACACGCCUUACCCAGACACUGUAUCGGGUGUUCCUAACACCACUGCAGAGCAGCUAACGGCACGCAAAGACUUG